GAACAAGAGAAGCGAGAACAUUUCAGACUCAGUACCUGCACCACAAAAAAUUGGAGAGAGCAUGCCUAUGAAGGCCCGUAGUGUCCUAAAUGCGCUGACUAACCCUGAGGAGAUCCAGCACCGAUGAACCAGGAAGUAAACUGAAAGACGCCGAGGCUGUGGAACACGAGGCAACCGAUACAUCUGUGAGCAGGAUCAUAAGGAAAGCGGGUACAUCGCGUGCAGGAGAGUCCUCCAGCUAUAUUGCACUGCGGGUUUUACUCCAACUUGCGAAUGUGUCCGGGAAACCCUCAUAUGCAGAACCUGCCAAAGCGAUCACGUCUCACAUCAAGGAAGCUGUCGUCCCAUACUGAAGCGCUUACCAACUGCGCUCGAGGAAGCGGCGGCUACUGACUGAAGAGAAUUACCGGCAUUGCUCCUUUCCCGCAUCCAACAAAUCCGCUUCAGAUUCAGCGCCACCAGUCUAGCGGAGGGUUAACCGGCAUCUCCCCCAGCGCUCCUGAUCGAACAUCUACACACAGGGAGAUCCUUGACGAUCAGAUCAUCACUGAUCAUAUACGCAUCUGUUACAAGUUAAAGGGGUAAGCGAGGACUGUGCACUGCAGUCCUAAAACUUUACCUACCUUAUUGCACUAUCCGAAGUUUCUUUCCCUGUAGGCACCAUUCGUAAAGGAGGCUUGAUUAUCUCUAUCGUGUUGAGAACACUUAAUUGGCAUGAAUAUCACAAGGAGUUUGUGAGUA
This is a long non-coding RNA of Xenopus laevis (African clawed frog), 741 nucleotides long. RefSeq lists it as uncharacterized. The transcript has 3 exons. Lineage: Eukaryota; Metazoa; Chordata; Amphibia; Anura; Pipidae. The record is from RefSeq and is a predicted model, not a curated record.